CCUUCGGGGUACUCGAGCGGCGAACGGGUGAGUAACACGUGAGCAACCUGCCCUAGGCUUUGGGAUAACCCCGGGAAACCGGGGCUAAUACCGAAUAGGACCUCUGACCGCAUGGUUGGUGGUGGAAAGUUUUUCGGCCUGGGAUGGGCUCGCGGCCUAUCAGCUUGUUGGUGGGGUGAUGGCCUACCAAGGCGACGACGGGUAGCCGGCCUGAGAGGGCGACCGGCCACACUGGGACUGAGACACGGCCCAGACUCCUACGGGAGGCAGCAGUGGGGAAUAUUGCACAAUGGGCGGAAGCCUGAUGCAGCGACGCCGCGUGAGGGAUGACGGCCUUCGGGUUGUAAACCUCUUUCAGCAGGGACGAAGCGUAAGUGACGGUACCUGCAGAAGAAGCGCCGGCCAACUACGUGCCAGCAGCCGCGGUAAGACGUAGGGCGCGAGCGUUGUCCGGAUUUAUUGGGCGUAAAGAGCUCGUAGGCGGCUUGUCGCGUCGACUGUGAAAACCCGCAGCUCAACUGCGGGCCUGCAGUCGAUACGGGCAGGCUAGAGUUC
RNAcentral lists this ribosomal RNA (555 nucleotides) under Micromonospora chaiyaphumensis. RNAcentral describes it as "bacterial SSU rRNA". It matches the Rfam family "Bacterial small subunit ribosomal RNA", at positions 77 to 649 of the family's 1533-position model. The record is from RNAcentral. Lineage: Bacteria; Bacillati; Actinomycetota; Actinomycetes; Micromonosporales; Micromonosporaceae.